GAACUACUCCACCAAACGCGGUGGAACCGUGGAAGUCGCGUUCAACGGGCUUCCCUUCCCCUACUUCCCUUUCACGAGACUUGCUCCCGACUUCCCAUGGACUCCACCUCCUCCAAGCCCCACCACCACUCCCACCGCCGCCGCCGGUGGCGGUGCUGCGUCCUGAUCUCCGCCGCUGUCGUCCUCUUCGUCGCCCUCCUCCUCCUCAUCCUCGGCCUCACCGUCUUCCGGCCCCGCCACGCCGUCACCACCAUCAACUCCGUCCGCCUCGCCGGCCUCCGCGUCGGCUUCGACGUCCCCAACCUCGGCGUCGACCUCAACGUCACUCUCGACCUCGACCUCACGGCCACCAACCCCAACCACGCUAGCUUCCGUUACGGCGACGGCUCCGCCGAUCUCUAUUACCGCGGCAACGUCGUCGGCGAGGCCGCCAUCCCACCGGGGGAGGUCGCCGCUGGUGGCUCGGUCCGAACCGAGGUCCUCCUCACCGUGAUGGCCGGCCGCCUGAUCGGCAACUCUGCCGUGUACGCUGACGCGAUCUCGGGGUCGUUGCCGUUCACGACGACGACGGAGAUUCCGGGGAGGGUUACGGUUCUCGGCGUAUUCAAGCAUCACAUGGUGACUUAUAGUACGUGCAAUAUCGUGGUGAAUGUUCGGAAUCGGUCGGUGGAGAACUCGGAUUGCACGUACAAGACAAAGCUCUGAGCUUGGCAUUGGGAUUGUUUGCAACCCAUCAGUAUGUCAGAUAACACUAAUGCUGCAUGGAAAUAGGAGAAUAUUGUUGGAAUCAAGGUUCGCUUUUGGAAAUGACACUGUCCUGAAUCUUAUGAAACUCUUAAUUCACCAUCUGCUCUUCAGGUAUCUUGUCAUCUGAAUGGUUAUAUAUAGGGAACUCAGGCAGAGAAAAUGGCUAUCUGGUAUGGAAGGGGAUUCAUGAAUGAAUUGAUGUCAUGCUCUUUUGUGCCGGUGAAAGAGUUCUUCAGUGAUUGUUCAGGCUUGCUGCUGUAUUUUGUCAGCCAAUAUAUCUAAAGCUGUUUGCUGUAAAUAUAAUGCCCUGAUUGUACUUUGCUAGCUAAAAUUGAAUUUUUUAUGGAGAAAAUAAAAUUAGACUUUCUUAAUUUGAAUUG
This is an RNA transcript of Elaeis guineensis (African oil palm), 1127 nucleotides long. It is a transcript of the gene named late embryogenesis abundant protein At1g64065, with no coding region annotated. Lineage: Eukaryota; Viridiplantae; Streptophyta; Magnoliopsida; Arecales; Arecaceae. The record is from RefSeq and is a predicted model, not a curated record.